This is a long non-coding RNA of Equus caballus (horse), 2957 nucleotides long. The record is from Ensembl. NCBI's taxonomy places the organism in Eukaryota, Metazoa, Chordata, Mammalia, Perissodactyla, Equidae.
AGACAGCGCGCGCCCGGCCCGGCCAUGGCGCGCUGGGCACACGCGGUGCGCUCCCGGCAGCCGGGCGCGUGCGCGGCGGCCCCGCGGAGGAAACGCCACCCGGGGCCGGUCCGAGGCCCGGCGGCGGCAGAGCUGGGCACCCCGCGGGCGCUCGGCACCCGCCCCGACCCCACCCCGCGGCCCCCGCGCCGAGAUGCGCCCCCAGGCCUGGCUCUGACCCAGCGCCCGGGGGGCCCUUCGCCCCGCCCCUCCCCGCCGGUGCAGGAACUGUCCCUUCCCAGCGGCCCCCAGGAGCGCCAGGACCCUGCAGGGGUCGUUGCUCAGGUGGCCUUGGCAGCAGCCGGCCUCCCGGAGAAGGAACCUCCGAGGGACCGCCCUGGGAGGCCAAGGGCCGCCGGGCUGGGGAGAAGAGCUCGCGGCAGCGGCCCUGGCGCCUCGGGAGCGCCCGCCCCCCUUCCCUUCCCAGAACCGGCUUUUCCAGCUCGGCGGCUUCGCCAGGCUUCUGGCGGGUGGGGAUUGUUUUCCCCGGGGGCUUGGGUGGGAAGAGUGAAGACAGGGAAGCUGGCUGCCCACACAGUGCUCUGCCGUCCGCGCCCCCUCCAGAGGCGCCCCAGGGACGCCGCAGCUGAAAUAAACACGGACCCCGGGCGCUGCCUUCGCAGAGGCGCAGACGCUCCACCAUCACGACGUCGGGCCUCCGCGCAAACACCAGGAGAGGCCUCGAACGUCCUGCAAGGGCUGCCGGAGUCCGGGCAGGAACAGCUGCUGUGGGAGAACCCCCGCUGGACUGAAGUGAGCCUGGGGAGCUGCUCCAGGAUGUGCACUUGGACUGAACGCCUGCUCUUCAUUCCCCUGAGUCCUUCGGCCGCAGGGUUUUCUGGGAGGAAUCCCACGGCCAGGAGGGGCCCACUUGACAGGUGCUUCUCUGAAGGAUGGAAAAAUCGAUGCCCGCAGAAGAGCGGGCUCAUGGAAGGUACGGACAGCGCAGUGAGAAGACCCAGGUCCCGGGGGAGGCAGGCGCCCGGGGGCCUGCCGGCCUGGCGCUGGCUGUUCCCCGGCUCCCAGAACAAACUCAGAGGCGGGCGUGGGCAGCCCGGAAGCCAGCGAUGUGGUUUUGUCUUUUAAGAUUUUUGUUCUGAUUACAAAAGCUGUAUAUGUUAACGUAGAAAAUAAAAAUUACUGAAUCCAUCCCCAGAGGUAACCUCCCUGCCAACGUGUGUAGUAAACCCUUCCAGCCUCUGCACAUCGAAUGCACUUUUUAUUUUUGCAAAAAUAGGACAUGCUCAGCUGCUUUUUUCAAAUUCAACUCUCUGCCACCAACAUCUCUCUGUGCCGUUUCCUGGCGCAACAUCAUUGUGUCUGAUGGCUGCACCACGAGUCGUCCUGGUGGAUGGUGGAGGCCCCACAAAGGCCUUGGAGUCAGCGUCUCGGCCCCUUGGCUGUGUGACCUCAGGCAGGUGGCCUGCACCCUCUGGCCUCCCUGGUCCUCCUCUGCGUGAUGGGGUACUGAUGCCUGCCCUACAGCCUGGUGGCGAGGAUUACAGGAGGAAAGAGGCAGAAAUCACGCAGUCCACGCAGAGCACAUCGAAGGCAUUCCAUCAGUGAUGGCUAUUAUUAUUUUUUGUCUGUAUUGUUAUACAGCUAAACCAUCAUUCUUUAGCCAGUCCUCUGUUAAGGAACAUUUAGGUUGUUUAUUCGGUUUCCCUUCAAGAAGAAGGCAUCAGUGGAUAUCCUUGCCAAGAAAUCUUUGACAAAUCCUCAAUGAUUAAUUUUGAGUGUUUUCUAGGAGGAGAGCGAUGCGCCCUGGGAAAGCAGACUGAGGAAUGUGGCCUCCUCCUGCUGAGCAACGUCAACCAAACUUUGCAACAACAACAAAAGUAAUUAAUCUUGAAAGAAAGAAGGAAUGGGAGAUGCCCAGGUGCUGGAAGAUGGGAGGGAAAAACCAGAACCGGAAGCUAUUCCAUGACUGAGGACCCCAAAAAGGCAAGAUCCUCAGUGAAGAGAGCUCACAGCUGAAAAUAGAGACCACAGGCUGGAACGAUCUACCACGAGGGAGAGUCAGCAGACAAAACAAGAAGGGUCAGUCCUCAAGAAACUGAGAUAACAGCACAGCCCAAAAGAGACUACAACAUGAAUGCUUUAAAUUAUUUUUAAAAAAUUAAAAACGCGUAAGAAAAUUAAAAGACACCGUGGAAAAAGAAGAGGCAGACGUGAAGGAAAAACAAGGAUCUAAAAGUGAAAAAUGCAGUUGUUGAAGUUAACAUUUCAACGAAUGGGUCGAAUAGCAGAUUAGACACAGCUGGAGAAAUGUUCACACACUGAAAGACGGAACUGAGGAAAUUACCCAGCAUGCGGUCAACAAAGAUAGAGAAACAGAAUGAAAAUAAAAACUAACAAAAUAGAGUAAGAAAGUCCAACCCACGCCUCAGAGAGGACCUGAAAGGACACACACUAGGGAGAGAAUGGAGGGGAGAGAUAUUCAACGUGAUAAUGUCUGAGAAGAUUCCGGAAGUGAUGAAAGACACAACUCCUUAGAUUUAAGAAGUGGGUCAGUCCCAAGAAGGAUGAAUAACAGUGAGUCUGCACCUAGAUAUAUGUACCAAAGACAAAGAAAGUGACUUAGAGCAACCAGAAGGAGAGACCAGAUUACCUCAUGCCCGUCGUAAAAGCAUAGUGUUCCAACACUUUAUACGUUAGCUCUUUAAGUCUUCAGAAUAACUCUCUUAGUAUUCUUAUUAUCCACAUUUUAAGGAUUGAAAAAUCAAGGCACAGAAAGUUUAAGUGAUCUUCAUUACUUCAUGCUACUUAAGUAAUUUUGGUUGCGACCAUGGCCCCUGAGGAGUCAUGCUUCCUCAUGACCACACCCUUGUGUGGUGCGACUUCACUGCUCCUCCCCAAGAGGACACUCUUGCUGUGAAGGAGAGGCCACUCUCCUCCCGCCUUGAGUCUAGACUGGC